Molecule: microRNA precursor, 241 nt
Organism: Oryza sativa Japonica Group (Japanese rice)
Lineage: Eukaryota; Viridiplantae; Streptophyta; Magnoliopsida; Poales; Poaceae
Rfam family: MIR812 microRNA precursor family
Source: Rfam
UUUAAGUGCAACCAUGAGUUUCCGUGCCAAAUUUUGAUCGUCCGUCUUAUUUGAAAUUUUUUUGUAAUUAGUAUUUUUUUUGUUGUUAUGAGAUGAUAAAACAUAAAUAGUACUUUAUGUGUGACUUAUGUUUUCAAUUUUUUUCAAAUAAGACGGACUUAUGUGUGACUUAUGUUUUCAAAUUUUUUCAAAUAAGACGGACGAUCAAAGUUGAGUACGGAAAAGUAUGGCUGCACUUAAA